CUCAGGUGGCGCUAUGGUUGGAGAACCGUGGCUGAACCGGUGUAACCCGGGAGCUGAAAAAUGGCGCCCGAUGGCCAUCUCGAACCCAUCGACCCGAUUGCGCAUGGCAAGGUCCAUGCCUCACUGGGUACUGGCGCAGCAGCAGAAGGAAGCGGAACAGCAGCAACGACGACCACCGACCCCACCGAAGAUCCCGCCACCGUCGCUCUCCGGGGACUGUGGUGACCCGGACUACGAAAUCAUCGAAUUUCCGACCCGACCGCAACCUCUAAAAUCCUCGACAGCCAUCAGCAAGUGUGCCCUAUGCGGCACGGAGAACGUGUUCGCCCGUUGCGACACCUGCAACGGCAACUAUUGCGAGGCCUGCGACGACAUGAACCACAAGCACCCCAAGAGAAAGGGCCACGUACGAAGAAGAAUCCUGACGGAUUUCGCGAUGAAGACGCGACCACCUUUGCCACCGAAAGGAGAGAACCUGUCGAGUCCACCGCCGAUCCCUCCGCCCAGACGAAACCGCAAGAACGCUCAGGCUAAAUCGACGCAAAACCAGGGAUCCACGAAUCUCUCCUUGAUCGAGAGAGUCGGCAGUUUGAAGCGAAAUCUACCGAAUACCGCCAGGCCGCUCUCUGCCACCCUAGACUCGAAAAUGGUCUCGAAAUCCAUGCACUCCGUCAACUCACCCCCUACUGACGGAUCCGCGUCCGGAACAGGCACUGACAAGAUGUCCACCCUUCAGGAGAGAUACAGAAAAUACCAAGAAGCAAUGAGGGCACAGGAUGCGAAUAGAAGAAGACACGCUUCCUCUGACGUUUCGAGAGACACAUUAAACACAAGGCCAGUGAGCUUAGGCAGCCCGAAACUGGCGCCUCCGGUUCCACCUCCGCCCCCGCCUAGAUCUAUGAUGCAGUCCACCAGCGUUUGCGAUUUAUCGUCGCCUCAUAUGUGGAAUCCUGGAAUGCAUCAGACCCAAUCGAUGGCACAUCUCGGCCCAGGAGGAGUGCCCAUGAUGUGGUACCCACCAAAUGCCCCAUGGGAUAUGUCCAUGGGUGGUUCCACGAUGAGUCUGAACCAAGCAAUGCCAUGGGGCUACCCCAUGGGAUAUCCCCCGUCGCAAAUGCUUCCACCAUACUAUCCAACCUCCCUAUCGAGACCUCACAGCCCCGCCAGAAGCGUAAAAUCCACCAGAAGAUCGAGAGCAGUUUCACCGUCGCCCAGUAUAAAAUCCAGAAAAUCGCUGGCCUCCAGAUCGCGAUCCAGAAGAUCCCAGGGAUCACCCUCCGACGCUAGCUCGGAGGAUUCGGGAGAAUCGGAUUUCGAUGACAGACUUUCGCGGAGCUCCAGAAGUAGACGCGGAAGCGUGUCCAGGAGUGUCAGACAGAGAAGCUACCAUGAAGACGAAGGCGGUAGAGGCUUGUUACCUAGAAAUCGUCGCGAACGACUAAUGUCGGAAGAGAGGAUGACGAGCACGGAGGAUCAGUGGUCCGAGAGUCACCCGACUAAACGGUACCCGCCAUCGUCGCGAGGUUACGACGACUUCCAGAAGAGCACGCUGAAUUCUCGACGACGAUACGACCAGGACGAACGCAGGCUCUCGAAACCUGAUUUGCGAUUGGAUCGCGUUCAAAACGGCAAUUAUCGUCGAAGACGAAGCACCGACGAAGAGUCGUCGGACCGUCGAGGCACGUUACCGGCUCGAUCCAGAGUGACUAGUUCCUCGGACGACCACUUCGACAAGGCAGAAGUAUCUGCUCGAAGAAAAGAAGACGACAUCCCCGCGAAAAGAGCUUCGUCCGUGCGCAGAGACGCGCGUUUGGACGACUUUGAGAGAUCGUCUCGUCGGGAUUCUCGAAGAUCCUCCAUCGACAGCGACGCUCAGAUCAGGAAGACUCCUGCGAGAGAGGUGUCGGCCAGGAGAAACCAAGAAACGGAAACUAACGAGGUCGUGACUCGUCCUGCGUCCAGAAAUCAACCGAGUCGAGAUCCCUCCCGCGAUCGAGAACCCCCGAAGAGAGAGCCCUCCUUGAGGAGAGACACCCCCGUCGACGAAGUAGAAAGAUCUCCCGCUAGACGAAGCUCGGGUAGAUCGUCCUUCGAUUCCGAUAAUCAGAGCAGCAGAAAAACACCCUCUCGCGAGUCUGUUCCUAGAAAAGCCCGCGAAGACGAUCGACCAGUGUCGAGACCCGCCAGCAGAGCUCAGGAAGAGACCAGAGGAGAGGAAGAAAGUUCAGCGAAGAAGGUCAACGAGAUCAAACAACAGGAGAAAACCGUCCCUUCGCGGAGGGAAGAAAAACGCGAAGAGGAUCGUUCGAGGACCAAGAAUACCAGCGAGAGGACCACGAUGGAGAUCCCAGAAGAAGAAUGGGCUUGCGAGCAUUGUACUUUCAUAAACAACGUGAAGGACCGUGUUUGCGUGGUUUGCUGCAAGACCAAGAGCAGUGCGCUGCCUCCGAGCAAUCCAGAAAACUCGGAAGAUGUCCCGAGCGUUUUGAGCGAAGUUCCCAAAAGCGAAUCGGCGGCCAGCAAUCCUAGCAACCCUAGUCCAGAUCUGGAGAAACGAACGAGCUUGCUAAAAAUUUCGAACAGCGAAGAAAGCGGGGACAGUGGAUCCGCAAAGAACAAAGAUACGCAAGAAAAUUCGCUCGGUGAAUCUCCGAUAACGCAAAAUGCUACAGUAACGACAAAAAGUGUGUCAGCGUCUACUGACAACACCGACGCAUCGAAUAACACAAAAGUAAGCGUCGAAGAUCCAACAAAACGACCGAUGCUCGGAAAAAUUGCAAAGAGCCAUUCGGUUUCCACCGGAACCUCCCCACCGCCGCAGAGCAUUUCCACUCAAACGUACGACUACCUCCCAGUCAGAGGAAGCGCAGGUUUCGUAAGAGCUGCAUCCACCUCGAAGGGAUUAUUGUAUUAUGAGGACAGCGACGCAGAGGAACGAUCCGGAGCGUCUGUUCCAGGAGCAAAGCAGGUUCGUAAACAGCCCAGAACUGUACCCGCACACGAUCCAAGAGCAAUAUCUUCAGCAACUGAUCGGCGGGCCGAGCAGGGACCGUACGCGACGAAACUCCAUCGACUCCACCCACCUUUAUUACCGUUCCAGGAAGGUACAUCUUACGACGAUCGAAUCCUUCUUGUUCGUCGACCCUGCAUCACAUUUUACAUUGAAUCCAGCCAGCCAAGAUUCCUAGAUGCUGGUCCCAGUUCCCAAGGCGUUUCAACUUUGACUCGUCAGGGUCUGGAGAUCGUGGAGCUGCUACGAGACGCUGAAAGACUCGGUUACUCCACGGACGACGUGCAAGUGGCCUUGUCACAGGGCUCUAGCAACCCUAUCGACUGGCUGAAGACGCAGUGGCCUCAUCUGGUGGAAACUGUACAAGUUCUGGUAACCACUCAAGGAAAGGAGCUGAAGGAGAACAAUAUCGGAGUGCUUUCAGCGACCGAGGCCAAAGAAGCAUUGAGAUUGACGAAGGGAGAUGUUUGGAACGCUGUCGCCAUGGCGAUUCAGCGGAGACAGCUAAAGUACGAGGAAAUCAUGAAAAAGGGCAACUUCACGACGGCGGAGGUGGUGAAGGCGUUGGAGAAUAAUGCCGGCGCCGAGGACGCGGCUUUGUUCGAGCUGCAAAAGAAUCAGUUGAAACCGUUCUUGAUGAGGAUUUGGGGUCCUCCGGUCGGGGUGGAAAACGACGAGGCUGCACCGCGGGAAGAUGCGGCAGGUGCGGUCGGUGGAGAGGGUGUUUCCGAACAGGUUACCAACGUGUCGGACUCGGAAGCCAGGAAGCAGGUAAUAUCACCAAUCGUUGAAAAUUUCGUCGCGUUGCAGGCCGACUUUCAAAAGCAACUGGCAGCCCUCAGACAAAUGACCGAUAACUGGCAACUUGACAAAGACCCCCUUAACACGCUCGGUAAUAAGCCUGAUAAUCUGUAUCGAAAUAACGCUGACGAUCGAACCGUUCUAAUCGAUAAAAAUCUGGUCCCAAGGGCCGUACAAGACCUCGAAGUAGCCAACACUGCUCGCGUUAAGACAUUGGAGAACGAAAGGAUGUUCGUCGAAAACGAUAUCAAAGCGCCGAUAGUUAACGAUGAUACCGUAGUUGAGAACACCAUCAAAGACUGUAUUCGAAAUAAUAAUUCUAUGACAAAUUUGAUCGAGAAAGAGAAACUGAGGCUGUCGGAAAAUUUGUUGAAACAGGAUUCGAAUAUCGUGAAAGAGAUUUCUGACAAGGAUAAUCGAUCAACGAAAGAUGAGGCUAAACAGACUGAUGUACCCACUGUAACUAAGGAUACUACAAUUGACAAUUCCAUAAAAAGUUCGGGAAAAGAAGAAAGUGCAGAACCCUCAGAAAAUUUGAAAACAAUCUCAACUUCCAAAGAUGACAAAGUAGAAAAAACAAAUACGUCUAAAGGGAGUAGUCAAAAUGCUUCUACGAACACUAUCGAAAAGACCUCGGGUGCGACAGAAGAGUUAUUGCAAGAAAAUCUGAGGAGCAAAACAGCGGAGGUAUUAUCGAUUCUCAAGAAAGACUCGAAGCAAACAAGGAACAUCGAUCGCGGUGAAAAUUCAGGAGAAAAAACCGUCUCCAAUGUCGAAAAAGAUAAGUCGAAGACAGUCGAUGCUGUAUCGAAAUCAGAUCUAGAUGAAACGGUAGAAAGCGUGAACGUAGAAGUGUAUCAAGGAAAAGACAAAGAAUCGCGCGUUACGUCCCAAAAGAGUUCUGAUCCUUCGGAAAGCAGCGCGCUAGCGGAUAAAGCUGCAUCUUCACGCUCGAACAAAGACGAAACGUCCCAAAAGGUUUCAGAUCCUCGACAAAGGACAGUGGACGAAGAUAAAGAUCCUUCAUCGAGUAUUCUUUCGCGAUCCGACGCGCAUGUGGCAGAAAAUUCGUUACGAUCCGAGGGGGCUAAUUUAACAAACCAGAAGAUGGAACAAGAGUCUCCGAAGGUCCCGAUAAAACCAAUUAGCGCUUCUGGUUCGUCCGAUGUGACGAAGUUGGAGCAGAGUGGAAAGAUUAUGCAGGGACAGACAGUUUUGACGAAGGAAAUUAAUGCAAAUGAAUCGAAGGACGAGAAAUUGAAGGAGAACAAGGACCAAGUUUCCGUGGAACCAGUUACUUCAGAAACAUCAGCUGUUGAGAAGAUUGGCGGAUCAGAGACCGAACCGAGUAAAAUAAAUUCGAAAGAGAUACCAGGUUCAGGGGCAACCAAUGAAGCAUCGAUGGUUGAAAACGAUGCUGUAACGCGAUCGAAUACCAAAAAUGAGAACAGCAACGAAACGCAAGUGGCCUCCGUGGAAGCUCUGAUAUCGGCAGUGAAAUCGUUGCCGGAACAAUUGCUGGGUCCCUUCAUAUCGGCAAUGCAGAUGCUGUCUCCGAGAAGAUCGAACCCCGAAGUUGAAAUUUCCGACGAAACGGCGGGAGGCAACAUAGAGGGGAAAGCAGAUAACAACUCGGAAGCCCGGAGAAAAGUUGCGACGGAAGAGAAGAAAGGAGACGCUGAAAUGGUGGAAUCCGCAACGAGCGCAGAAGACGUCGAGAAACUGCGAGAGCUCGGAACGGUAGGUAGAGAGAAAGACAAUGGCGUUUCUGGUAGCGUAGAAAAGGGAACAAUAGCGGAGGCAAAAUUUGACGACAGCCGGAUCCCAAAUGACGCGAAAGUAACGCAAUCGCGGAGCGACGAAAUAAAGGAAGCCGAAGCGUCGAAAGUAAGUUUGCCGCGUUCCCCGGAAAUUGUCGGCCAGGAUGUUAACGAAGAAAGAGCGUCGAACGUUCGGCAAACUGGUACAAAAGUAUCGUUGACGAAGAACGAUUCAUCCGACGAUCAUUCGAGAGGUUCCGAGAUUCGUGCGCAGAACGAUCGAUCAUUCUCGUCAAAGGAAGCGGGCAGCUCUUCCGUGAACGACAUCAAAGAUUCGCGCGCUAACAAUGCAUCUUUCACGACCGAUAACGCGAUGAGACACAACGAGACCAUUGCUGCACAAUCAUUAUCGAACGAAACGUCAUCCUGCGUCGGUGAAUCAUCAUCAUCUAACAUGCGAACGCGUUGCGUCGCGGCGACCGACGCCGAGCGUGUGAAAUUAAUCGAUGCCAGCUUGGUUGCUGAUAACGACCGCUACGUACUUGUUUCACAGCACAAAUUGCUUGACAGUAAUACCACUAAUUUGUCCGCAACGGUUACCGAGCCUUGUAAUACGAACGACAAUUCCCCGCUUCCCGUUUCUGUCGAUGAAAAAGUGUCUAACGUCGAAAAGAAUCUUCGAGAUUCUCAACAGGGUUCUCGCGAACUUUCGAUCGAUUCUAAAGUCAUAGAAUGCGAUUUUGAAUCUGACGAUACUUUAAGAGAUUCUAAAAGGGUCGAAGAGACUUCGAACAAUGGAGAAGCAGUUAUGAACGAAGGUUUGAGAGAUCUUGAAAAGCUUCACAACGUUUCUGUAGACUUUGAAAUUUCGGAGGACAAAGCAGUUGCUCAAGAAACUUCUAAUGAUUCUGGAAUCGUUGACCUCGAGGUAAAAGAUUCCAAAAUCCCUGUUUCCAAAAAACCUGAGAACGUCUCUCGCGAAAUUUUCGACAAUUCUGGAGUUGCCGAAGAAACUUCAGAUUCUGAAAACCUUGUUCCCGGAAUGAACAAAGAUUUCAGAAUCCAUGAAGUUCCCAAAACCCUCGAGGACGAUUCUCACGAAAUUUCGGACGAAUCUGAAGUCUUUGAAGAUUGCAGUACUCUCGUGGAAGAUUCUAAAGCGACCGAUUUAACGACCGUUUCCUCCGAAGUUUCGAAGAAUCCUGAAAAUAUUCCGUUAGAGAGUAAAAUCCUCGAAGUGACAGUAGAUUCCAAAAACAAUGACGAACUUUCUGCAGAUCCAAGAAUAACUGAAACCUCAAAGGAUUCUAAAAGUGUCCCACGCGAAGUUCCCAAAAAACCCAGCAAAAAUGACGUGUUCCAAGAGUCGAAAAUAUCCGAAGUUCCCAGCAGACCCAAACUAAUUGUCCAAGAAAUGAAAACUCCGUUGCACGUAUCCGAAAAAGUAGAGCAGCCCAUCUCCGUCGCAUGCCACAUUCCCAACGAUAAAAUCGAUACUCGUCCAAUAAGUUGUGGAAGUAAGUCCCUCGAUUCUGAAACGAACCUUCGGCAAAUUAAUGUUCAGUCGAAAGCAGAAGUAAAUGAUCAAUCAACAUCAACAUCCGCGGAGAAAAUCGACAAGCUGACAAAAAACGGAACCAAUAACGAUGUCUCGACGAUCGCGAAGCAGAAUUCGAGGGAAAUAAUUGAAACGAACGAUUCAAAGGUAGAAAAAUUCCUUGGGAACGAUCAGAAGAUUCUAUCCGCAAUUCCAUCCUCGAUAUCGAACGACCUCGACGUAAACGAGGCUUCGAAAGCCCUCGCGAAUACUGGAUCGACAAUUUUAACUAUUUCGAGUGGCUCUCGUAUUACCGAUCCCUCGUCAAACUCGCAUACUUUGGCCACCGAAUUUCCCUUUAACAAGCCGAAUUCUGCGAGCACUGACAAAAUUCUAGAAACUCUCGAUAACGUUACCGAUGUGCUUAACGAAUCGAAAACCGACAUUAAUUCCGACACUAUUAAUAGCGUUCAGAAUAAUUAUGAUAAGACACGCGAUAACGUUGAACCUUCCUGUAACGGUAUUGCAAAAGAUUCUAGUAACAAUACGUCCCAUGUGUUACCCCUUUCUGGCGAAAAUGGAGAAGUGACUGAACUAGCUCGUUCUGAUAAUUUCAAUUUAAAUGUAGUAGAAAAUCCUCCUGAAUCGGUUUCAGUUGUGCAAGAAAUUAAGUGUCCUCUCGUAAAAACUGUUAGUGCGACUCUCCCUGUAAUACCUGCGAUUACAGAACUCGCAGUAGAAGAAACUGUUAUUCCUAUCGCGAAUUCAAUUGAUGUCCAAGAAAUUAAACCUGUCAUGAAAAAUGUUAAUGAAUUACCAGUACCUGAAAUUACAGAGAUUGAAGUAACAAAACCUGAUACCCCUAUAGUGAAUUCGAUUAAUACCCAAGAAACCCAACAUUCUAUCGUGGAAAAUAUUAAUGGAUUCUGUCCAGAGGUACCUGAAGUAGAGAAUAAAGUAACUGAUACCCUAUCUGUGAAUUCGGUUAAUACCCAAGAAAUUAAACAUCCUGUGGAAACUGUCGACGAAACACCUUCGAUACCUGUAGAACUCAAAACGAAAGAAUCUGUUAGUUCUAUGGAGAACGUGAGUCUGACCGAUUUUCGAGAAGUUAAAUACUCCAUCAUGGAAAAUGUUAGCGAAGUAUCUCCGGGAGUGGCCGAGAUCAUAGAGAUCAAAAUAACGGAGUCUCCGAUGAUAGCAGUGAACGACUGCGCUCCAAUUAACCUGCUAGAGUGUGCGGAAAAUAAAACCGAUGAGGAAUCGAUGAAAUCGCGACUAGAGAGUGUAAUGGCGGAAGCUAUUACGAUUUCGAGAGAAAGCGCGGUUAACGUCCAAAAUAAUAACGAAGCUGAUGCAAAUGAAAUUGGCAAGAAGGUACCGCCGAAGGAGAGAUCCAAAUCGCCGGCGAAGAAGGUCGGCAGAAGGAGGUCUCCCGUGAAAGUGGUCAAAAAACCGACCGGUAUACCUCGACGAAAUUUCGGAAAGAUUAGCCCGAAAGGUAGAAUGGUCGCCAAAGUAAAAGAGGUUACGGAGCCGACUCGCAGAUCGACCGUAUCCAGGAGAAGUCCGAGGGAGAACCUGGCAAAGAGUUCGAAAGUCCAGGUCGGAAACGUCUCUUCGAAUAUCACGGCGAGCAAAACGAAACCAUCGUCCACUAAUCAAAAGCAAAUUUCAAAGGCCUGCAACUCGAGGCCCCCUGAAAAGAGAUCGACUAUCCUGAGAACGCUGUCGAAGGGCUGCGAGCAAAUUAGAAAAUCGAUCAUGCAGUCUGCCGACAAAAAGACAGAGCAGGUUUCGAGGACGAAAGAAAAACCGAAAUCGUUCCUGUCGAGAAUCCCCGUGUUCACCGCGAGGUUUCAGCAACAGUCUCGUAAAAGUUCGCAGCCAAUUUCUAAGAGAGCUAACGAUUUGAACGACGCAAAGAAAAUGAACGGUCAGCAAGCUGCCAGAAAAAUUGGUACGCAGAGUGUUCCGAAGAUUGGAACCGGACGAGAAGCUCCGAAGAAAGUAGACGGUUCCAGGCACGGGAAUGUAGACGUAAAAAAUGCAACUGUCCAGAUUUCCGCGGGUAAGAAAACCGGAAACGAGAAGAAACCUCAGGCGAAGAAUGCUGAACCAAAUGUAAUCGUAGCUGGCAAAGAUUCAGCGAUAUCCAGUGACUUGGACUCGGAGAGCGACUCUAGCAAAGAAUACUCGUCGGGAGAGGACUCCGAUGUGGACAGCGUAUCGGAUUUUGAAAGCAUCGUGGAGUCCGAUAUAUCCAGCACGGAUAAACAAUUUUCCGACGACGCUUUGGGCAGCAUGGAGGAAUUAACCGACGCCGAGAUCCUCCUGCAGGAAACCAUCAACGCGAUAAAGGCGAAGAUAUCGGACUCCGAGUUCGAGGGAUCCGAGAGCGAGUCUCUCAGCGAUAUGGAAAGCCAGGAUGCCUCUAAUUCCAGCGAAACUUACGCGGACGUGAAAGACUCCUCGCUGGAUGAGGAAGAACAAUUAGAGGAGAAUGAUGAGCAGAGUUUUAACGACGAAACAUCCGACGAAGAUGAAACUUUGAAAGCGGACGAACAAAAGACUUACAAGUUAAACAAAGUUACUUCCAAGAAGACUCCUUCGGCGAAGUCCAAAGAUCAAUUAAUAUCGAAAACGGAUACGAAUGACACGGUCAAGAAGUCCGUCGAAACGAGUAAAUCGAGAAGUAACGAUAUCGGGGAGAAGAAGAGAAUCGAUGCGAAGGGUGAGGUAAAAAUGGCGAAGCGGGCGAGCGAAAAACGAACGAAAAAUCGCAGAGCGAGUACGGGCUGCGACAGGGGGUCGGAUCAGGGAGAAACGUCGAAGAAACGAUUCUCCCUGGUAGCCAGUUGUAUCCAUCGGUUCGAGGGUGAAGAGAAAACGGAAAGGGAGUACGUGGAUAGUAGAAGCGGCAACUCGAAGACGGGGGUAUCUCCCAAAACGGAACGGGAGGUCAGUAGACGUCAGUUGUCAGAAAAUCACUUGUCGACUAUGUCGAUCCCUUGCCGCUGACAGACCAAUGUCUACAAACAGCUCGAAACGUAUCGAGACACGGAAAGAAAAACAGAUUAGAAACGGCUGACACCCUUUAUAACCCUGUUUUGACAGUAGUUUUAAGCUCACCUUUUUUUUUCUUUUCCGAGUAGAAUGAGAUUGCCUAUACCUCGAGAGAAUAGCGCGUCGCUUGUUAGCCGAGGGUAAAGCAUCAAAUUACGAUGAAGCGGAAGUGGCUGCUAGUUUACUUGCGCUGAAAUU
This 10372-nucleotide unclassified non-coding RNA is filed under the name Megachile rotundata (alfalfa leafcutting bee). Its description in RNAcentral is "uncharacterized LOC100880656, transcript variant X8". The record is from RNAcentral. Lineage: Eukaryota; Metazoa; Arthropoda; Insecta; Hymenoptera; Megachilidae.